GUCGCCCCCGUGUCCCGUGCCCUCCCCCGCCGGCCGUUGCCAGGAGACGCCAUGGCGGAGCGGGGCCUGGCGGCGCUGCCGCUGCCGCAGCUCCGGGCGCAGCUCCGGGAAGCGCGCUACGCCAAUGCCCUGCUCCGAACUGAGGUGGAAAUGUUUGAGAAAUGGUACUGCAAGAUGGAGCCCUCCGGCCCCUUGCUCCCGCUGCUGACGGAGGCGCCCGAUGCCCCACCGGAGCUGACGCAGACACGUGGCAGGUACAAAUCCAAGUUGCAUGGGGCGACGGACUAUUUUGUAGGCCUGACAGCGGAGCAGAAAUGUGAGCUGGCUGAGCGGGAGCUGGCUGAGAUGAAGGAUGAGAUUCAGAGGCUGAAGGACGACUCGGAGCAGACCUUGCAGGACCUGGAGGCAGUCAUAGAAGAAGCAGAUGUUUGGUGGGCUGAUGUUAAGAAAGCCAUCAGUGACUUUGAGAAAGACAUCAUCAGCACCAUCUCCAGCAAGAAAGGGAGUAUCAUAGCUUCUGAGAAGCUGCUGAGAUACAUGGAGGAGAAGAACCGCCAGAGGGAUCUGCUGAGAGAGAAGUUGUGCUUGAAAAAUUAUUUGCUCAAGGGUUACAAGAAGAAGCUGCAGCAGCAGCUCAGGCAGGGUUUGCAGAAGGAGCAGAUGGGAGAGACACUCUGUGAGGUCCGUUUGCAGCAGCUGCAGGUUAGAAAUGCCCAGUACCAGGAGAAGAUUGAUGAGAAGAACCAGGAGCUGCUGCAGCUAAAACUAACCUCAGGGAAGACUGUCCAAGUCCUCAACUUCUAUAAAAGGAAGCUGCAGGAUGCCAUGGAAAUGUCCACAUCUCUGAUGAAGGACAUCUCCCAGAGGAAGGAACUGCUGGGGAAAAUUGAAAGAGAAGCUGCUCUGGUGGAGGAGCAACGAGCUGAAGCUGAGAGCGUGAACUGGCAGCUGCGGAAGCAGCUCUCAGACUACAGCGUCCCCUCUGUGCUGAGUUACGUGCAGAAGAAGGUGGCUGUUACUGACCUCAAAAACAGCCUCAAGGCUUGGGAGAGGAAGGCGGCAGUUGCCGAGAUGACCUUGCAAAGCUACCGCAGAGCAUGGAACCAGGUCAAGAUGUCUGGUAACCAGCAGUAGGCUUCUCCGAUGCUGCAAGGCAGGCAGUGGAAGCUGCAGAAGGAGCCAGCCCUGUGGGGAUGUUUGCUGUCGAGUGGGGGUCAAAGACAACCUGAAUGAGACCAGAUGCUGGUGGAACCGUGACCAACCCAUGUCCUUGACCCAUGGGCUGUUUGUCAGCCAGCUUGGUGACACUGGUCCCUUCCCACUUUGCACGUCUCAGAGGAGGUCAGCACUGCCAGAGACGCAUGACCCCCAUGGCAGCUCUCACGGGCAGCACAGGACCCUCGCUCAGGCCAGAUGAGCCUCUCUGUUUUCCCAAAUGACCAGCUGCCUCC
Molecule: RNA transcript, 1451 nt
Organism: Chroicocephalus ridibundus (black-headed gull)
Lineage: Eukaryota; Metazoa; Chordata; Aves; Charadriiformes; Laridae
Gene: CFAP263
Gene name: cilia and flagella associated protein 263
Exons: 10
Source: RefSeq, a predicted model, not a curated record